GUGGGGAAUUUUGGACAAUGGGCGCAAGCCUGAUCCAGCAAUGCCGCGUGCAGGAAGAAGGCCUUCGGGUUGUAAACUGCUUUUGUACGGAACGAAACGGUCCUGGUUAAUACCUGGGGCUAAUGACGGUACCGUAAGAAUAAGCACCGGCUAACUACGUGCCAGCAGCCGCGGUAAUACGUAGGGUGCAAGCGUUAAUCGGAAUUACUGGGCGUAAAGCGUGCGCAGGCGGUUUUGUAAGACAGGCGUGAAAUCCCCGGGCUCAACCUGGGAAUGGCGCUUGUGACUGCAAGGCUGGAGUGCGGCAGAGGGGGAUGGAAUUCCGCGUGUAGCAGUGAAAUGCGUAGAUAUGCGGAGGAACACCGAUGGCGAAGGCAAUCCCCUGGGCCUGCACUGACGCUCAUGCACGAAAGCGUGGGGAGCAAACAGGAUUAGAUACCCUGGUAGUCC
RNAcentral lists this ribosomal RNA (450 nucleotides) under uncultured bacterium. RNAcentral's name for it is "partial 16S ribosomal RNA". It matches the Rfam family "Bacterial small subunit ribosomal RNA", at positions 354 to 796 of the family's 1533-position model. The record is from RNAcentral.